Long non-coding RNA from Carassius gibelio (silver crucian carp), 2133 nucleotides. RefSeq lists it as uncharacterized. NCBI's taxonomy places the organism in Eukaryota, Metazoa, Chordata, Actinopteri, Cypriniformes, Cyprinidae. The record is from RefSeq and is a predicted model, not a curated record. The transcript has 4 exons.
CUAUGUUAUGCAGUUUAUUUUAUUAUCAUGUGAUGACAUAACCUGAGACUAAAAGCUGUGAUAUACAUUUUGUCCACUAGAGAGAGCCAAAUUAUAUGGACAAGGCCUAUUUGAAAGUGAAAGUCCUGACAUUUACCAAGUAACCCAUCCUCGGAGCUGGUGCUCUGCAUUUAACCCAUCCAAGUGCACACACACAGCAGUGAGAAGUGAACACACAACCAGAGCAGUGGGCAGCUACAGAUCCAGCGCUGGGGAGCAACUGGGGUCUCAGUGCCAGGGUAUUGAGUUCAGUCAUGGGUAUUGAGGGUGGAAGAGAGCGCUGUUCAUUCACUCACUCCCACCUACAACUCCUGCCAGCACCGAGACUUGAACCGGAUACCUUCUUGUAAGUAGUCCAAGUCUCUAACCAUUAGGCCACAAACUUGUGCGAACUUCUAUGUCAAAAUCAAAUUCUCCAGUCAAAAACCCUUACAUGAUCUAUCAAUAUCAAACUUUGGCCUCAGAUGACAAAACCUACAGUACAAAUACACACACUACAAUAGUUUAGCUUCCUUAAAUAUAAUAAGUUAUCUUUACUUAGUUGUUAUACUUACUAGGUUUUAUUAAGUUACAAAAUUUGCUAAUUUUAAGGCAAAUAAAACAACAUGCUGCAAUGAGUAAUUCUUUCUUAAAAUAUUCAAGUAGCUACAACAAAACCGAUGACAUUAAUUCACCAGUGAGAGGCAGCAGUGCGCUAAUGUGCAACAGGAACAAAACAACAGAAGAAAUAAGGACGGUGAGCAUGCGCAGCAAGCAAAGUUUUGAAGCUGCAUCGAAUUUGCUGAAACUAAGAAGUAGAAAGACUGUUUACAUUUCACCUCUGGACAAAGAAUGAUUGAUUACUUCUACACAAUAAUAAUAAGGAAAAAAGCUUGUGUCAGCUGUCUUCUCUGAGCAGCGGUCUUGUGAUCACCAGCCUCAGUAUAAUAAAGAUUUGACAGAACUACACAUCCAUCUGAGGCCUACCUGUUUUAAUUCAUGAUCACCCCGGAUACUUCUACAACUAACCCGCCUUGGUGUCUGAUGCUGAUGCAGUCUGGGCACUAGUAUCUGUUGGCUUGCUGACUAUCACUGACGAUGAAGUACUUCUCCAAAUCUUGACCCAGUGUCUUCUGCCAUCAUUGUUCAGGGUAGUACUGCAAAGAAUAGUCUCCAAGGUCUGCCCCCAACAUUUGCUUCCCGACCACCAUGUGCUACGUUUGCAUCACUACAUGUGGGUUACCCUGAUACUGUGAAGAAAACCUACAAUAUGAUGCUUGACUUGGGACAGAAAAAAAAACAUUGGCAACUUGUGUGGCCAACUCAUUGCCGUAUUUAAAAUCAUUGUACCGCUACCUCCAUUGUUUAACAUAACUAAAAGCAGAUUGUUUUUGCUUUGUUUCAAAAUUUUUGUAAUACGAGUUAAAACUACAUUGAAAAAAAUAUAUCAUCUUUAACUUUGAACUGUCACUACAUUUGAUUUAGGGUAAUUAUGUGUGUGAAGAAUAGAACAUUGUUGUCAUGAAUUUGUAAUAGAUUUUUGAAGUAAUUAAGUUGCUAGAUUAAUGGUAACUUUUUUUUUAAAGGCAAUUGGUCAACUAGAUUUCUGUUCAAGUAAAUACAACUUAGAAAUUCCAAGUUGCAGGAAAUGUUUCUUGAUUUAGCUAAAUUUAAAUGAGUUGUUUGAAAUACGUACAUAGUAUAAUGUACUUAAUUUAGUUGUUGAAAAUAGUAAUUCUGAGUUACACGUUUACAACACUUAUAAAUAAACCUUUGUUAGUACAAAUUACUAUUCUUAUUUCACUUUACUUGUUUUUUUCAAGGCAAUCGGUUUGCAUGCUUUUUUAAAAAAUAAGGUUUACUCAUUAUAAUUUACAGUGCAGACAACCUCCCUGCCCAGUGCACACUAGUGAGAUAAAUUCAAAACACUGUAAUUGUAAUAAAGUACUGUAACUAUACUGUACUACACUGUGUGAUUUUUUUCAGCUCUCUCUCCAGUGCUAGGAUGCAUUUUUAAAGCAGUCACCUGUGCUCCUGUUCAUAAUUUCCUGAGAUGCUACUGAAUGCUACUUAUGGAUAAUUGUGUGUUCUUUGAGUUCACACUGUGACAAUAGA